Molecule: ribosomal RNA, 1500 nt
Filed under: Eubacterium ramulus
Lineage: Bacteria; Bacillati; Bacillota; Clostridia; Eubacteriales; Eubacteriaceae
Description: bacterial LSU rRNA
Rfam family: Bacterial large subunit ribosomal RNA
Source: RNAcentral
AGAAGAGAGAAUGCCGGAAUGAGUAGCGAGAACAAGGUGAGAAUCCUUGUGGCCGAAUAUCCAAGGUCUCCAGGGUAAAGCUGAUCUGCCCUGGGAAAGUCGGGACCUAAGGUGAGGCUGAAAAGCGUAGCCGAUGGACAACAGGUUGAUAUUCCUGUACCGCAUGGUAACAGAACUGUGGGGACACGGGAGGGAAACAUGGGCCGGAAAUGGAAAGUCCGGUACAAACGGGGUAGUCGCACAGCAGGCAAAUCCGCUGUGCAUGAGACGAAGCCGUGAUGUGGAGCGAACUAAAGUAGUGAAGCAUGUGCCCCCUCCUGUCGAGAAAAGCCGCUAUUGUUUGCCAUGCGCCCGUACCGUAAACCGACACAGGUGGAUGAGGAGAGAAUCCUAAGGCCGGCGGGAGAAGCAUUGUCAAGGAACUCGGCAAAAUGACCCCGUAACUUCGGGAGAAGGGGUGCCCACGCAAGUGGGCCGCAGAGAAUAGGCUCAAGCAACUGUUUAGCAAAAACACAGGUCUAUGCGAAACCGUAAGGUGAUGUAUAUGGGCUGACGCCUGCCCGGUGCUGGAAGGUUAAGAGGAGAGGUUAGCUUCGGCGAAGCUUUGAAUCCAAGCCCCAGUAAACGGCGGCCGUAACUAUAACGGUCCUAAGGUAGCGAAAUUCCUUGUCGGGUAAGUUCCGACCCGCACGAAAGGCGUAAUGAUUUGAGCGCUGUCUCGACAAUGCACCCGGUGAAAUUGAAGUACCAGUGAAGAUGCUGGUUACCCGCGCCAGGACGGAAAGACCCCAUGGAGCUUUACUCCAGUUUGGUACUGGAGCUUGGUAUUGCAUGUACAGGAUAGGUGGGAGCUUAUGAANGGAGGCGCUGUUGGGAUACCACCCUUGCAAUAUCGGGUUUCUAACCAGCCGCCGUGAUCCGGCGGUGGGACAAUGCCAGGCGGGGAGUUUGACUGGGGCGGUCGCCUCCGAAAGGGUAUCGGAGGCGCUCAAAGUUUCCCUCAUAAUGGUCGGAAACCAUUAGAAGAGUGCAAAGGCAGAAGGGAGGCUGACUGCGACACCGACGGGUGGAGCAGGUACGAAAGUAGGACUUAGUGAUCCGGUGGCAUAAAGUGGGAUUGCCAUCGCUCAACGGAUAAAAGCUACCCUGGGGAUAACAGGCUUAUCACUCCCAAGAGUUCACAUCGACGGAGUGGUUUGGCACCUCGAUGUCGGCUCAUCGCAUCCUGGGGCUGUAGCAGGUCCCAAGGGUUGGGCUGUUCGCCCAUUAAAGCGGUACGCGAGCUGGGUUCAGAACGUCGUGAGACAGUUCGGUCCCUAUCCGGCGCGGGCGUAGGAUAUCUGAGGGGAGCUGGCCUUAGUACGAGAGGACCGGGCUGGACGGACCACUGGUGUACCGGCUGUCAUGCCAAUGGCAUCGCCGGGUAGCCAAGUCCGGAAGGAAUAAACGCUGAAGGCAUCUAAGCGUGAAGUCCCCCCCAAGAUGAGAUAUCCCAUCCUU